AUGUUACCCAUUCCCCCCGCUAUGAGGGCUCUAAAGCCGGAGUCGAGGGGGUGGGUGUGUCUCCUAGGUGUGACUCCGCCCACCCUCAUGGUCCCGCCCCCCUCCAGUGUGGAGCUGCAGCAGGUGAAGACCACACUCCUGUGUUUCUCCAACAAGAGCUUGAGGCUGAGCUGGAAGGUGGGUGGGAGCAGCUGGAGCUCGGGGGUCAGGCAGAGUCCCGGGCUUCUGCAGAAGGACCACGGCCUCCACAGCUGGAGCAGCACCCUGACCCUCCAGGAGGAGCAGUGGCUGAAGAACACAGUGACCUGUGAGACCACCAAGCACCUCCAGCCUACUGUCAGCAGGACACUGAGGAGAGAGCAGGACACUGAGCAGUGAGGACCACCAGCCUCUGCUUUACUCAGCUCACUUUCUUCUGCUUCAUUCAGGAUUUAAAACACAGAUUUGAGCUUCACUGCUGAAAC
This is a non-coding RNA of Astyanax mexicanus (Mexican tetra), 464 nucleotides long. The record is from the annotation of a RefSeq genome assembly. Lineage: Eukaryota; Metazoa; Chordata; Actinopteri; Characiformes; Acestrorhamphidae.